CGACAAAAAUUAUUUUAAAUACGACUAUAUAACAAAAAAAAAAAAAAAAAAAAAAAAAAAAAAAAAUACUACAUUAAAUUCUAUUUUGAGGUCUCAUUAAGGGGAGAGUCAUGGGUGAACAGACGACUUAAAUAUCUCAUAGCCAAAAAUCUGUCGUGUUAGAUUCGAAGAUGGUGUUGGUCACAGCUGCGGCCAGCGUCAAUUUUAUGAUUCUUCCUGUAAACACAUUAGAAAAACGCAUCUUCACCGAUUCUCGUCCUUUAUUAUUAUUAUUUUUUUGUCAAAUUUUCGAUUCUAUUUUUAAAGAAUUAAUAAAAGAUGUCGGCAAUGAUCCAUCAACAAAAAAAAAUUUUUUUUUUUUCGGUAACCGAAUAUGUUUCGUAACUUCAUCUCUGUCGAGUGCAGUUAAAGAUAACUCUCGUCGGUGACCCAGGAAGACAUAAAUUAAUAUUAUUAUACUUAUGUAAUGCAUAUGUUGUCUGUUUUAAUAAAGCGAUGAUAAUGUUUGCAAUUCUACACGGCUCCUAUCAUUUUUUUAAUGUUUUUUUUUAAUGGUGUUACUUUGCAUCAUCAUUUCAAAUCCGAACCUUAAUAUAUAGAUCAAUGCGUUCGGAUUUAUUAAAUGCACGGCACCGUUUUAGAUGUUCUUUGAACUUCUGCGAACAGAUUUAUUUUUAUUCUAAAAAAAAAAAAAAAAAAAAGACUUAAUUUUAUAAAACGUAUUUAAAGAAGAAUUUUAUUUUUUUGAACGAUUUAAUAUAAUUU
RNAcentral lists this long non-coding RNA (765 nucleotides) under Androctonus crassicauda. Lineage: Eukaryota; Metazoa; Arthropoda; Arachnida; Scorpiones; Buthidae. The record is from RNAcentral.